UACGUAGGGUGCAAGCGUUGUCCGGAAUUAUUGGGCGUAAAGAGCUCGUAGGCGGUUCGUCGCGUCGGCUGUGAAAACCUGAGGCUCAACCUCAGGCCUGCAGUCGAUACGGGCGGACUUGAGUACUGCAGGGGAGAGUGGAAUUCCCGGUGUAGCGGUGAAAUGCGCAGAUAUCGGGAAGAACACCCGUGGCGAAGGCGGCUCUCUGGGACGGUACUGGACGCUGAGACGCGAAAGCGUGGGGAGCGAA
RNAcentral lists this ribosomal RNA (250 nucleotides) under uncultured bacterium. RNAcentral's name for it is "partial 16S ribosomal RNA". It matches the Rfam family "Bacterial small subunit ribosomal RNA", at positions 524 to 772 of the family's 1533-position model. The record is from RNAcentral.